Gastrolobium bilobum is the source of this 242-nucleotide long non-coding RNA. RefSeq lists it as uncharacterized. The record is from RefSeq and is a predicted model, not a curated record. The transcript has 3 exons. Lineage: Eukaryota; Viridiplantae; Streptophyta; Magnoliopsida; Fabales; Fabaceae.
CGUCAGACACUCUCCACAAAGUGAUUCCCACUGAUUCUGGCAGCGAUCUUGAAAAAGAAAAAAUAGUGUUCAUUUGAACCGUUAUGGUGGGGUAUCUUUCUGAUGGAUUAAUUUAGUGAGGUUCGCCUAUUUCGUGAGUUGGUGGACUUUUGCUGCUGCCUGGUAAUUUAUUUGUGACGUGUGAGGAGGACGUAAAAGCUUUUGAGGACUUGGAUAUUUGCUGUUGGUUUCUACUGUUGGGC